CCAGACUCCUACGGGAGGCAGCAGUGGGGAAUAUUGCACAAUGGGCGAAAGCCUGAUGCAGCAACGCCGCGUGAAGGAAGAAGGGUUUCGGCUCGUAAACUUCUAUCAACAGGGACGAAAGAAAUGACGGUACCUGACUAAGAAGCCCCGACUAACUACGUGCCAGCAGCCGCGGUAAUACGUAGGGGGCAAGCGUUAUCCGGAUUUACUGGGUGUAAAGGGGGCGCAGACGGCGAUGCAAGCCAGGAGUGAAAGCCCGGGGCCCAACCCGAGGAUUGCAUUCGGAACUAUCAAGCUAGAGUACAGGAGAGGAAAGCGGAAUUCCUAGUGUAGCGGUGAAAUGCGUAGAUAUUAGGAAGAACACCAGUGGCGAAGGCGGCUUUCUGGACUGAAACUGACGCUGAGGCACGAAAGCGUGGGGAGCGAACAGGAUUAGAUACCCCCGUAA
RNAcentral lists this ribosomal RNA (448 nucleotides) under uncultured bacterium. RNAcentral's name for it is "partial 16S ribosomal RNA". It matches the Rfam family "Bacterial small subunit ribosomal RNA", at positions 331 to 793 of the family's 1533-position model. The record is from RNAcentral.